This 469-nucleotide ribosomal RNA is filed under the name uncultured bacterium. RNAcentral's name for it is "partial 16S ribosomal RNA". It matches the Rfam family "Bacterial small subunit ribosomal RNA", at positions 28 to 507 of the family's 1533-position model. The record is from RNAcentral.
GAUGAACGCUGGCGGCGUGCUUAACACAUGCAAGUCGAACGGUGAACACGGAGCUUGCUCUGUGGGAUCAGUGGCGAACGGGUGAGUAACACGUGAGCAACCUGCCCCUGACUCUGGGAUAAGCGCUGGAAACGGCGUCUAAUACUGGAUAUGUGACGUGACCGCAUGGUCUGCGUUUGGAAAGAUUUUUCGGUUGGGGAUGGGCUCGCGGCCUAUCAGCUUGUUGGUGAGGUAAUGGCUCACCAAGGCGUCGACGGGUAGCCAGCCUGAGAGGGUGACCGGCCACACUGGGACUGAGACACGGCCCAGACUCCUACGGGAGGCAGCAGUGGGGAAUAUUGCACAAUGGGCGCAAGCCUGAUGCAGCAACGCCGCGUGAGGGAUGACGGCCUUCGGGUUGUAAACCUCUUUUAGCAGGGAAGAAGCGAAAGUGACGGUACCUGCAGAAAAAGCGCCGGCUAACUACGUG